This 465-nucleotide ribosomal RNA is filed under the name uncultured bacterium. RNAcentral's name for it is "partial 16S ribosomal RNA". It matches the Rfam family "Bacterial small subunit ribosomal RNA", at positions 28 to 507 of the family's 1533-position model. The record is from RNAcentral.
GACGAACGCUGGCGGCGUGCUUAACACAUGCAAGUCGAACGGAAAGGCCCCUUUGGGGGUACUCGAGUGGCGAACGGGUGAGUAACACGUGAGUAACCUGCCCUUGACUUCGGGAUAACUUCAGGAAACUGGGGCUAAUACCGGAUAGGAAUCCUUGCUGCAUGGUGGGGGUUGGAAAGCUUCGGCGGUUUUGGAUGGACUCGCGGCUUAUCAGCUUGUUGGUGGGGUAGUGGCUUACCAAGGCUUUGACGGGUAGCUGGCCUGAGAGGGCGACCGGCCACAUUGGGGCUGAGAGACGGCCCAGACUCCUACGGGAGGCAGCAGUGGGGAAUAUUGCACAAUGGGCGGAAGCCUGAUGCAGCAACGCCGCGUGCGGGAUGACGGCCUUCGGGUUGUAAACCGCUUUCAGCAGGGGCGAAGCUUGUGGUGACGGUACCUGCAGAAGAAGCACCGGCUAACUACGUG